CCUACGGGAGGCAGCAGUGGGGAAUAUUGGACAAUGGGGGCAACCCUGAUCCAGCCAUGCCGCGUGUGUGAAGAAGGCCCUCGGGUUGUAAAGCACUUUCAGUGAGGAAGAACGCCUGGUGGUUAAUACCCAUCAGGAAAGACAUCACUCACAGAAGAAGCACCGGCUAACUCCGUGCCAGCAGCCGCGGUAAUACGGAGGGUGCGAACGUUAAUCGGAAUUACUGGGCGUAAAGCGCGCGUAGGUGGCUUGAUAAGCCGGUUGUGAAAGCCCCGGGCUCAACCUGGGAACGGCAUCCGGAACUGUCAAGCUAGAGUGCAGGAGAGGAAGGUAGAAUUCCCGGUGUAGCGGUGAAAUGCGUAGAGAUCGGGAGGAAUACCAGUGGCGAAGGCGGCCUUCUGGACUGACACUGACACUGAGGUGCGAAAGCGUGGGUAGCAAACAGGAUUAGAUACCCCUGUAGUC
Molecule: ribosomal RNA, 465 nt
Filed under: Vreelandella stevensii
Lineage: Bacteria; Pseudomonadati; Pseudomonadota; Gammaproteobacteria; Oceanospirillales; Halomonadaceae
Description: partial 16S ribosomal RNA
Rfam family: Bacterial small subunit ribosomal RNA
Source: RNAcentral